RNAcentral lists this non-coding RNA (21 nucleotides) under Caenorhabditis elegans. The record is from RNAcentral. Lineage: Eukaryota; Metazoa; Nematoda; Chromadorea; Rhabditida; Rhabditidae.
UAUGAACGCGUUUUUGUCAUU